Molecule: ribosomal RNA, 251 nt
Filed under: uncultured bacterium
Lineage: Bacteria
Description: partial 16S ribosomal RNA
Rfam family: Bacterial small subunit ribosomal RNA
Source: RNAcentral
ACGUAGGGAGCAAGCGUUGUCCGGAAUUACUGGGCGUAAAGGGUGCGUAGGCGGCGCAGUGAGUCAGAAGUGAAAUAUCGGGGCUUAACCCCGGGGCUGCUUCUGAUACUGCUGUGCUUGAGUGCAGGAGAGGUAAGCGGAAUUCCUAGUGUAGCGGUGAAAUGCGUAGAUAUUAGGAGGAACACCAGUGGCGAAGGCGGCUUACUGGACUGUAACUGACGCUGAAGCACGAAAGCGUGGGUAGCAAACAG